Girardinichthys multiradiatus is the source of this 2637-nucleotide long non-coding RNA. RefSeq lists it as uncharacterized. NCBI's taxonomy places the organism in Eukaryota, Metazoa, Chordata, Actinopteri, Cyprinodontiformes, Goodeidae. The transcript has 3 exons. The record is from RefSeq and is a predicted model, not a curated record.
CCAGAGAGCUGGUAUACAAUAAUAACACCUCAUCAAUGCUUAGGCAUUUCAGAGCCAUAUAUGAAAAAGAAAAGCCACACACUUCAAAUCUGUGGUCAAUCUUAUUGUAAAGGAUUCACAGCCCUUUACUGUUGUGGAAGACGAGGGGUUCAGGGAACUCCUUCAUUUGCUGGAUCCCACCUAUGUUCUCCCUACUAGAAAGGCAUUAAAGAAGAUGGAGGAAAAAUAUGAAAAAAAAAAAAAAAGAAAAGGCCAAAGAGGACAUGCAGAAGGUGUCUGCUGUGAGCCUCACAGUAGAUAUGUGGAUAUUAAUAAAUACGGAUGCAUACCUGGCAAUAACAUGCCACUUUGUUGAUGGAGACGACAAACUGGGCACUGUGCUGCUUAGAGUUGAACAUUUCCCUCAGAGUCACACAUCAGAAAAUCUGGCAAGGGUAGUUCAUACCCACAUGGAGGAGUGGGGAAUAACUAAUAAGGUUACUUGCCUAUAGUCACUGAUGCUGCAUCAAACAUGAUUGCACGUGCUAAGGCCUUAAGGAUCAGGCACUCUGUGUGCAUUGCUCAUGCACUGAAGUUGUUGGUAGGAAAAUCAUUUGACCAGGUCCCUGCUCUCUGUGACAUUCGUACAAACGAAUUGUAACAUAUUUUCACUCAAGCACCAAAGGUAAAGAAAGCUAGAAGUAGUAUAGAUACAGAUAGGAAGACAGUCACAAAAGCUUGUCACUGAUGUGGACACACGCUGGAAUAGCAUAACCUCACUAUCUUGUCAGGAGUAUCAAACAAUUGAGGAGUGCUUACCUGUAUUAUUCACUUUUUACCAGGCAACAUUAGAGCUCUCAGAAGAGAGAAGGGUCUCAAUCUCAAAGAUAAUCCUUAAUGAACAUGCUGCACCAUGCAGGACUUGCAAAAUCAGCAAAUAUCACCAGAGUUGCUAAACUUCUCUCAGGAGUUUUUAAAGUGUCAGAGAAAAUGUGACAAGUAUAGAAUCCCUAAACAUAAUGACAGUGGCCACAUUUUUGACCCCAGGUUUAAAACUCUUGGCUUUCUCAACCAAAACAAGGCACAAGAGGCAGUACAGCAGCUAAUCUCUGAACAUACUGCACUAAUAGCCAGCAGUGAAGCUCCACAUCCAUCAGAUGCAAGAGAAGGCACCAGCAACUCUCGUGAGUUUUUAUUUAUUCUGUAAAUUCCUUGACCUUGACAUAUUAGUACUGCUGUAUUUCAGCUGCUGGUGUUGUAUGAUUAUAUUUAAUGUUUUCUUUUUUUUUUUUUUUUGCUAUUUAUUGGUGAGAUGUGGUGUCUGCUAGAUGAAGCAGUGGACCAGAAGAGACAAAGCUCCAAUGCCACAGCAGAUGCCAUAGUAGAGGUGGAGCGAUACCAGGCAGAAGUUAACUUGACGAGACAUGAGGACCUCUGGAGUACUAGCAUACGUAAGACCCCAGACGAUACAUUUGUGGUGCUGCUUCAGUAUCUGGAGGGGCUCUAUGGAGGAACAAAGGAAACAACAGUCCUGAAGGCCUUCAUGCUGGUGGAAGAAUCUGAAAAGGCACCAAAGGACAUAGUUGUCCAUCAGAGGGCGCAGAGAGUCAGAGAAGUGAUCCUGCUCUUCUCCUGACCCAUGGGAACUACUGGACUUGAGGAAACAACACAGAAAUGCCCCUUUUCCGUUGGCUCGAUUUGGCCCGACUCUGCUCCACUCGGCUCGCUUCGCGAGCAUUACCAUUACUGUUAUUUCAGUAUAGGUACCUACUUUUUUAGUACCUCCUUCUUAGCAGGGCUAAGCGAGGCCGAGUCAGUACUGUACGUGAUGUGAAGAAACGACUGUUCAUUGAUUGGCUGUGGGCGUGGCCAGCCGCAAGAGUCGACCAGUGUAAAAAAAAAAAACAACCGCCAUUUUCAAACGUGCAUUUAAGCGAGUUUAUUUCUUCGGUUUAUAUCUUCUUGGAAUCGAAGAAGAACCCCAAUCAAGCUCACACAUAGCAACAGCACAGACCAACGUCUUCCAUAGCUCCUUCUUCUUGUUUUUGUAAUGCGUUUCGGUCUUAUUCUUCCUUACAUUGGCGGUUGUUGAAGAACGGUAGUGCUCCAAUUGCGCCGCCAUGAGUUUCAUUUGCGGUUAUGCAGCACGACACAUGAUGCUUUAAAGCCGCGCCUCCAGGAGGUGUUCCCUACAGUAGAGCAAAAGCGGGUCUAUAGAAAUGCAACACAACGUGCAGAGCCGUGCAGAGCUGUUCAGGGCAGGCCAAAUCGAGCCAGUGGAAAAGAGGCAGUAGAGACUGAAUGAAUGGCCUGAUCUCUUUCUUGGAACUGUUGUUCCCUUUAAAUAAUUUCUUUAAAGGCCCACAUGUUUUUCUUUACAACUAGAAUCUAAAGAGAUUAACGCUUCCUCACUUUUACCACAUUCGGAAUCUCAAACAUUUUUUUUUCCAAAAGGUGAUUUCAGUUUCCUCGUGUUGAAUAUAUUUAUGAUCGUCAGUAGGGGGAAGAUAAGUUCAGAAACCAGUGGAGGGAAACAUUGUCAGGAAUGCUUAUGGUUGAGACAUGUUGGUCCGAGUCGAACCUGCAACCAGUCGAGUAAAACUAACAUGGUGACCCUUCCUGAAAAACAUUGUAAGAAUUAUGAUUAUUGAUUAAUUA